AUUGAACGCUGGCGGCAUGCUUUACACAUGCAAGUCGAACGGCAGCACGGGUGCUUGCACCUGGUGGCGAGUGGCGGACGGGUGAGUAAUACAUCGGAACGUGUCCAGAAGAGGGGAGUAACGCAUCGAAAGAAUGUGCUAAUACCGCAUAUGCUCUGAGGAGGAAAGUAGGGGGAGUCGAAAGACCUUACGCUUUGGGUCGGCCGAUGUCUGAUUAGCUAGUUGGUGGGUAAGGGCCUACCAAGGCGACGAUCAGUAGUUGGUCUGAGAGGACGACCAGCCACACUGGGACUGAGACACGGCCCAGACUCCUACGGGAGGCAGCAGUGGGGAAUUUUGGACAAUGGGCGCAAGCCUUGAUCCAGCAAUUGCC
Molecule: ribosomal RNA, 373 nt
Filed under: uncultured bacterium
Lineage: Bacteria
Description: bacterial SSU rRNA
Rfam family: Bacterial small subunit ribosomal RNA
Source: RNAcentral